RNAcentral lists this ribosomal RNA (256 nucleotides) under uncultured bacterium. RNAcentral's name for it is "partial 16S ribosomal RNA". It matches the Rfam family "Bacterial small subunit ribosomal RNA", at positions 524 to 776 of the family's 1533-position model. The record is from RNAcentral.
UACGUAGGGUGCAAGCGUUAUCCGGAAUUAUUGGGCGUAAAGAGCUCGUAGGCGGUUUGUCGCGUCUGCUGUGAAAACUGGGGGCUCAACCCCCCAGCCUGCAGUGGGUACGGGCAGACUAGAGUGCGGUAGGGGGAGAUUGGAAUUCCUGGUGUAGCGGUGGAAUGCGCAGAUAUCAGGAGGAACACCGAUGGCGAAGGCAGAUCUCUGGGCCGUAACUGACGCUGAGGAGCGAAAGCAUGGGGGAGCGAACAGG